UACGGAGGGGGCUAGCGUUGUUCGGAAUUACUGGGCGUAAAGCGCACGUAGGCGGCUUUGUAAGUCAGAGGUGAAAGCCCGGUGCUCAACAUCGGAAUAGCCUUUGAGACUGCAUCGCUUGAAUCCAGGAGAGGUGAGUGGAAUUCCGAGUGUAGAGGUGAAAUUCGUAGAUAUUCGGAAGAACACCAGUGGCGAAGGCGGCUCACUGGACUGGUAUUGACGCUGAGGUGCGAAAGCGUGGGGAGCAAACAGG
RNAcentral lists this ribosomal RNA (253 nucleotides) under uncultured bacterium. Its description in RNAcentral is "partial 16S ribosomal RNA". It matches the Rfam family "Bacterial small subunit ribosomal RNA", at positions 524 to 776 of the family's 1533-position model. The record is from RNAcentral.